Molecule: long non-coding RNA, 1587 nt
Filed under: Anas platyrhynchos platyrhynchos (common mallard)
Lineage: Eukaryota; Metazoa; Chordata; Aves; Anseriformes; Anatidae
Description: lncRNA (ENSAPLG00000019585.1)
Source: RNAcentral
CCAUCCACCAUCCUUCCCACCACCUCUCCCACCGUCCUCCCACCUGCACCUCCGGCCAUCCCAGCCCUCUCGCAGCCCCGGUCCCUCUUCCUGAGCUGGAGCCCCAGUCCUUCUCCUUCUUCUUGCAGGGGCAGGUGGCCUGGCUCCUGGCGUGGGUGGCCUGGCUCCUGGCAUAGGUGGCCUGGCUCCUGGUGUGGGUGGCUUGGUUCCUGGUGUGGGUGGCCUGGCCCCCGGCAUUGGAGGUGUCCCAGGAGUCGGAGGUCCGGCAGCAGCAGCAAAAGCAGCAGCCAAGGCAGCCAAGUACGGUGCCGGUGUCGGAGGGGUGCCAGGCGCGGUGCCCGGUGGUCCCGGUGUGCCAGGAGUGACACCCGGCGUUGGCGGCGUCCCUGGGUUGGUGCCGAGCGUGGGGGUACCCGGUGCCGGCGUUCUCCCCGGGGCAGGCAUCCCCCAAGUAGGGGUGCAGCCAGGUGCUAAGCCUCCCAAGUUCGGAGUUCCCGGAGCUGGAGUCCCAGGGGUUGGUGGCAUCCCAGGGCUCUUGUUUCCAGGAGCUGCUGGAAAACCUCCCAAGCCAGGUUUUGGUGUUGGGGGGCUGCCAGGUGAGUGCCGGGGCCGGGGGCCAGGGUGGGACCCUGUCACCGACCGCACUGCCCCGCUUGUUGUCCCCACCCCGCCGGGCACGCCACAGGCUCGCGGGGUGCUCUGUAGCGGGGUGGGCACCCAGGGGUGCUGCUGGGCUCGGGGGCUCUUGGGGCAGCUCACGCCCAGCUUGCUGCAGGCUUGGGGACACUGCGGCCACGCAGGGCUGGGGUGGCAGCGCUGUCACCGGCUGUCACUUUUUCCCCAGGGCCUGGAGUUCCCGGCUUUGGCGUGUCACCGAUAUUUCCAGGUACCUUCCCCUGCGUGCCCUGCCCGGGGGGACACACGCAGCCGCAGGGCACAAGGACACGGCCACGGGGAGUGGGGCUGGGCUGGGCUGGGGGGCACGGGGCCGAGCAUCACUGAGGCUUUGCUGUGCUUUCAGGUGGGGUCGGCGGCCAGCUGGGAUUUGGCGGUGAGUGCGCCCCAGCCAGGCGGGUUGGGGACAGUGGGCGGGGGGUCACCUCCCCAGGGGGCACCCGUGGAGCCCCCCACCCCGCUCACCCUCUCCGUCUUGUCCCCGCAGGGAAGCCCCCCAAGACCUUCGGAGGAGCCCUCGGGGCCCUGGGCUUUAGAGGUGAGCGCCGCCGGGUCCCCCGCCACCCCUGCCCGGCUUCCAAGCCCCCUGCCGGGGCCCGGGGGGGCUGACCCGGUGUCCCCCCCCCCAACCCAGGUGGAGUCGGCUGCGCACAAGGGAAAUACUGCGGGAGGAAGCGGAAGUAACCGCCCGCCCCACCGAUAACCUCAUGAACUUUGGUGCUACUGCAUGGUCCAGAAUGUAAAUCCCCAGCCCAGCUGAGACCCCCCUGGCCCCCCGGCCCCACGCUCCCGGGAGGGACCCCACGGUGCGGCAGCAGCGCCGGGGCCUGCCCCCACCCCGGGAAUUCUCCCCCCCGACCCCCCCAGGGAGCGCGGAAUAAACUGCGGGGAGCAGCUGUCCCCCUUGGUGCU